Molecule: ribosomal RNA, 253 nt
Filed under: uncultured bacterium
Lineage: Bacteria
Description: partial 16S ribosomal RNA
Rfam family: Archaeal small subunit ribosomal RNA
Source: RNAcentral
UACCAGCACCCCGAGUGGUCGGGACGUUUAUUGGGCCUAAAGCAUCCGUAGCCGGUUCUGCAAGUCUUCCGUUAAAUCCACCUGCUUAACAGAUGGGCUGCGGAAGAUACUAUAGGGCUAGGAGGCGGGAGAGGCAAGCGGUACUCAGUGGGUAGGGGUAAAAUCCUCUGAUCCAUUGAAGACCACCAGUGGCGAAGGCGGCUUGCCAGAACGCGCUCGACGGUGAGGGAUGAAAGCUGGGGGAGCAAACCGG